UACAGAGGUCCCAAGCGUUGUUCGGAUUCACUGGGCGUAAAGGGUGCGUAGGUGGUCGGGUAAGUCUGAUGUGAAAUCUCUGAGCUCAACUCAGAAACUGCAUUGGAUACUAUUCGGCUAGAGGAGUGGAGGGGGGACUGGAAUACUUGGUGUAGCAGUGAAAUGCGUAGAUAUCAAGUGGAACACCAGUGGCGAAGGCGAGUUCCUGGACACUUCCUGACACUGAGGCACGAAAGCUAGGGGAGCAAACAGG
RNAcentral lists this ribosomal RNA (253 nucleotides) under uncultured bacterium. RNAcentral's name for it is "partial 16S ribosomal RNA". It matches the Rfam family "Bacterial small subunit ribosomal RNA", at positions 524 to 776 of the family's 1533-position model. The record is from RNAcentral.